Molecule: ribosomal RNA, 462 nt
Filed under: uncultured bacterium
Lineage: Bacteria
Description: partial 16S ribosomal RNA
Source: RNAcentral
GACUACUGGGGUAUCUAAGCCUGUUCGCUCCCCACGCUUUCGCGCUUCAGCGUCAGUUCUAGGCCAGAGAGCCGCCUUCGCCACUGGUGUUCUUCCAGAUAUCUACGCAUUUCACCGCUACACCUGGAAUUCCGCUCUCCUCUCCCGAACUCAAGAGAACCAGUCUUAGAUGCAAUUUAUGGGUUGAGCCCAUAGCUUUCACAACUAACUUAGUCCCCCGCCUAGGCGCCCUUUACGCCCAAUAAUUCCGAACAACGCUCGCCCCUUACGUAUUACCGCGGCUGCUGGCACGUAGUUAGCCGGGGCUUUAGGCAGGUACCGUCAUCACACCGAAUAUUACCCGGCGCUUAUUCUUCCCUGCUUAUCGAACUUUACAACCCGAAGGCCUUCAUCAUUCACGCGGCGUCGCUGCGUCAGGAUUGCUCCCAUUGCGCAAGAUUCCUCACUGCUGCCACCCGUAGG